RNAcentral lists this ribosomal RNA (501 nucleotides) under uncultured bacterium. Its description in RNAcentral is "partial 16S ribosomal RNA". It matches the Rfam family "Bacterial small subunit ribosomal RNA", at positions 30 to 523 of the family's 1533-position model. The record is from RNAcentral.
AUUGAACGCUGGCGGCAGGCUUAACACAUGCAAGUCGAGCGGGGGAAGGUAGCUUGCUACUGGACCUAGCGGCGGACGGGUGAGUAAUGCUUAGGAAUCUGCCUAUUAGUGGGGGACAACAUCUCGAAAGGGAUGCUAAUACCGCAUACGUCCUACGGGAGAAAGCAGGGGAUCUUCGGACCUUGCGCUAAUAGAUGAGCCUAAGUCGGAAUAGCUAGUUGGUGGGGUAAAGGCCUACCAAGGCGACGAUCUGUAGCGGGUCUGAGAGGAUGAUCCGCCACAAUGGGACUGAGACACGGCCCAGACUCCUACGGGAGGCAGCAGUGGGGAAUAUUGGACAAUGGGGGGAACCCUGAUCCAGCCAUGCCGCGUGUGUGAAGAAGGCCUUAUGGUUGUAAAGCACUUUAAGCGAGGAGGAGGCUACUUUAGUUAAUACCUAGAGAUAGUGGACGUUACUCGCAGAAUAAGCACCGGCUAACUCUGUGCCAGCCGCCGCAGUAA